CCCUUAGAUAUCCUGGGCCGCACGCGCGCUACACUGACAUGUUCAACAAGCCUCCUAGUUCGACAGGAUUUGGGAAAUCUUUGAACGCAUGUCGUGAUAGGGAUAGAUCAUUGCAAUUAUUGAUCUUGAACGAGGAAUUCCUAGUAAACGCGAGUCAUCAGCUCGCAUUGAUUACGUCCCUGCCCUUUGUACACACCGCCCGUCGCACCUACCGAUUGAAUGUUUCGGUGAAGAUUCCGGAUAGGACUUUUUUGAUUUAUUUCAAUUCUGUCUUAAAAGCUAUCUAAACCUCAACAUUUAGAGGAAGGUGAAGUCGUAACA
This 321-nucleotide ribosomal RNA is filed under the name uncultured eukaryote. RNAcentral describes it as "partial 18S ribosomal RNA". It matches the Rfam family "Eukaryotic small subunit ribosomal RNA", at positions 1470 to 1796 of the family's 1831-position model. The record is from RNAcentral.